UACGUAGGGCGCAAGCGUUGUCCGGAAUUAUUGGGCGUAAAGAGCUUGUAGGUGGCUUGUCGCGUCUGCCGUGAAAACCCGAGGCUCAACCUCGGGCGUGCGGUGGGUACGGGCAGGCUAGAGUGUGGUAGGGGAGACUGGAACUCCUGGUGUAGCGGUGAAAUGCGCAGAUAUCAGGAAGAACACCGAUGGCGAAGGCAGGUCUCUGGGCCAUUACUGACACUGAGAAGCGAAAGCAUGGGUAGCGAACAGGAUUAGAUACCCUGGUAGUCCAUGCCGUAAACGUUGGGCACUAGGUGUGGGGGACAUUCCACGUUUUCCGCGCCGUAGCUAACGCAUUAAGUGCCCCGCCUGGGGAGUACGGCCGCAAGGCUAAA
RNAcentral lists this ribosomal RNA (377 nucleotides) under uncultured bacterium. RNAcentral's name for it is "bacterial SSU rRNA". It matches the Rfam family "Bacterial small subunit ribosomal RNA", at positions 524 to 898 of the family's 1533-position model. The record is from RNAcentral.